RNAcentral lists this long non-coding RNA (1050 nucleotides) under Lingula anatina. Its description in RNAcentral is "uncharacterized LOC106166993, transcript variant X1". The record is from RNAcentral. Lineage: Eukaryota; Metazoa; Brachiopoda; Lingulata; Lingulida; Lingulidae.
UAGCUUGAAAGAAGAGGCAAAAUGGCAACAUGGGAACACUUUACUUUGUGGUGCAUCAGAAGCGGACUACAUUGACGAUUCACCCCUUUGACAUCGUAGUUAUACCAUAAAUAAGAAGAUGCAUCUCAUCCGAACUUUAUAACACUAAAUUGGAAGGAUUAGGAGUGUCACAUACACGUAACGCAAAGGAAUCUGCCUGAAGGAAGAGUGAUGACAUUUCAAAGUGACCAUUAACGAGGAGAUUGGAUGCGUUUUCUGUCAAAGACAGCGAAGGUGGGGGGCAUUUGUACGAUGGUAUGGAGUAAAGCAGCAUUCACAUCCAAAGUUGAUCAGCGGACUAACAGAUCCACGGCUCAAAUAUGGCCGACCCACUUGAAAGCUUGCCGCAUGAUUUCCUAAAAGACGAUGUAAGAUUUCGCGGCAAGCUUACAUAUUAUUUUGACCGCAUGGUUCCUUUUUUAUAAAUCAAAAUUAUUAGUAGUUUGUGCAGUAGAUUCCAAAAUGCAUACAAUCUUCGACGAAUUUUGAGAAAAGGAAUUUUUUGUGAAAAUGAACUGAUGGGAACUGCUAUUAUCGUAUUGUAAUUAUACUUUGCAAGUUUGACUUUUGUGCCAAAAUCUUUGCUUUUAUUUUAUACAAUCAUUUGGAUAAUAAGAUACGUCUGUAUGUUCAAUUUAUUUCAAAAUUUGCAAAAAUGAUCAAAUGUCUUUCUCCCUCAGUUUGGCCCGAACCCCCAAUCUUCUUUACGUUAGUUCGUCCGAGGCAAGCGCGCUAUCCACUCCCCCAAGUGUGCCCGCCAACCCUCCUCGGGUGAGCUUUCUUCUUAUAAUAAACGGAAAGAAAUUCUAAAUGCCUUCCUUGAAACUUGAAAGGUCUUUGGCAAUUUCCAAGCGCCCUACCCGGAGCUCAAGCCUCAACCUUCCCCCCCCUCCCUUCCCCGGAUCAAUAAAAACAGAGAGACAUUUUGCAUACAGGAGUUUUACUUUUUAUUAAGAGCAAAAUACAUUUCCAUUGACGUAUUCAUUCAUUUUAAAGCAUCUCAUCGUAAGU